This 376-nucleotide ribosomal RNA is filed under the name uncultured bacterium. RNAcentral describes it as "bacterial SSU rRNA". It matches the Rfam family "Bacterial small subunit ribosomal RNA", at positions 523 to 898 of the family's 1533-position model. The record is from RNAcentral.
AUACGUAGGGGGCAAGCGUUGUCCGGAAUUAUUGGGCGUAAAGCGCGCGCAGGCGGCCUGUUAAGUCGGGUGUGAAAGCCCACGGCUCAACCGUGGGAUUGCAUCCGAAACUGGUGGGCUUGAGUGCAGGAGAGGAGAGUGGAAUUCCCGGUGUAGCGGUGGAAUGCGUAGAUAUCGGGAGGAACACCAGUGGCGAAGGCGGCUCUCUGGCCUGUAACUGACGCUGAGGCGCGAAAGCGUGGGUAGCAAACAGGAUUAGAUACCCUGGUAGUCCACGCCGUAAACGAUGAGUGCUAGGUGUUGGGGGUAUCACGCCCUCUGUGCCGAAGGUAACCCAAUAAGCACUCCGCCUGGGGAGUACGGCCGCAAGGCUGAA